CAGGCAAGACUGUAUACUAUUAUAAUUUAGUGAUAUGUUUUUAAGGAAAAAUACCUUUAACUAAUUGAAAAAAUAUCAUGAACAAUUGCAUGAUAUUUUUCCUCUUUAUUGGUCUUAUCAAGUUUAUGGAGAUGUACCUAAACCAGUCUUUCCCAUAAGGCAAAUUUCCACAAGAUUCAUAAAUUUGAUCUUUGAUAUAUGUUUUUGUCUAUUUUAGCAGUUAAGUCAUUGCUCAAUAAUGAAUCUGCAAAGGCAAAUCCAUUGUUUCCCCCUUUCUUAGUUGAGACAAAAAGUACUGUUUCAGCCAGCUGUAUUGAAGUAAUGCUUGAUAACACCAGAAUAUCACUGUAUAUCAAAAGAUGUAUGGCAUCUCAUCAUCAGCUGGUGUCACAGUUCUCCAAUGUGAUGGGGAAAGUCACAGUUCUUUCACACCUUUUAUUUAUUUAUUUAUUUGCAAACCCAACACAGUAACCCAGCUUCCUCUUCAGGAACUCGAGCUGCGUCGAACGCUUUGGAGAACGCGUCUAGCGUGAGCGACUCUGAAUAUCGUGUGAAAUCAGUCCAAUGGAAGAGCGUGACGUCACGGGCGGGGUGACGUAAGCGACCAGGAAGCUAUAAAAGCACAUGCCGCGCAGCUGGCAUCAGCUUCGCGUCUUCAGCAAGCGCUCUGUGUGUGCAUGUCAUUUUGUCUUGUGAGUCUUAUUUACUGUUGUCUGUCCAGUAGAGCUCCAAGCAAUGUCCAAGUGUAAGGCGAAAUCUAAGCAUUCUAAGGGCGAAUCCGGAUCGCGUUUCAGACUGUGUGUCCCUCCCUGCCCGCGCUACAUUACGAGCGGGGAUACACACAGUCUGUGCGUGGUCUGCCUGGGUUCGAAGCACGCCGAGUCGGCUCUCGAGGGGGCCGACUGUCCGCAUUGUGAGAGGAUGUCGGUGCGGCUGCUUCGUUCCCGGAGGGCUCUCUUUGAGGAGGGAGCCUUCGCCAGCGUUCCCCGCGGUGCUGGCCCCGCUUCUGCCGAGGCAGAGCGGCAGCUGCACUCGUGGGGUUCGCAAGUGACAGAGGGAAUGGAGACGGGCGAGUCCCUAUCUCCUUCCACUUCUGCCAGAUCCGGCGCCCAAUCUCUGGAGUCGGAAGCACGCUCUGCGGUUCCUUCCACCCAGGGAGAGGGAUCGACACUCCGCCUCUCUUCCUCCGAGGAGGUCGAUGUGGAGUCUGUCGAUAGGGAUUCGCCACCCCACUCGCCUAGGUAUGAGGAGCUCUUGGAGGUGGUGACUCGUGCGGUGGCCAAGUUGAGUCUUGACUGGCCCGCCGAGAAAACAACCGAACCGCAGAAAAGCAAGCUCGAUGAACGCUUUCUGCGGGCGAGUCAGCCACCUCCUUGCCGGGGCCUUCCAUUCUUUCCCGAUCUACAUGAAGAGAUCGCUAGAUCGUGGAAGAGGCCAUUCUCAGCCCGCCUGUAUAUCCCCUCUUCAGAUUACUACGGCAAUGUAGUGGGGAUUACAGAGCGCGGCUACAGAGCGAUGCCCCGGGUGGAACAGACGCUCGCGAGCUAUCUGUCCCCCGGUACUGCAUCGUCUCUGAAGGCCCCGGCAUUGCCCUCCAAGCCGCUCAGAACAACGUCGGCUCUGGUGGGCAAAGGGUAUGCGGCAGCAGGUCAGGCUGGUGCGUGUCUGCACACCAUGGCGGUGUUACAGGCGUACCAGGCUGACCUGCUGAAGGAGCUUGAUGAGGGAGAGGAGAUCAAGUCCGAUGACAUCACUGAGCUCAGAAGGACCGCUGAUCUCUCCCUCCGCGCCACCAAGGAGACCGCCCGAGCGAUUGGGCGGUCCAUGGCAGCUAUGGUGGCCGCGGAGAGGCAUUUGUGGCUGACCCUGUCUGAAAUGAAAGAGCGGGACAAGGUCUGCCUUAUGGACGCCCCGAUCCAGCCUUCUGGCCUGUUCGGCGACGCAGUCAACACUGUCGUUGACAGGUUUCAGGAGGCUCGCAAACAGGCGGCGGCGUUCCAUAAAUU
Long non-coding RNA from Cyprinus carpio carpio, 2006 nucleotides. Lineage: Eukaryota; Metazoa; Chordata; Actinopteri; Cypriniformes; Cyprinidae. The record is from Ensembl.